GGCACAGGUUAGUGUCUACGGCUUCGAAGAACAGCAUAUUUCAAGUAAAAGAAAAAAGCAUAUAGCCGGGCAUAAGACAAAUUGGGAUACUGUAUGUAAUGUAUUUUUACAUUAAGAGGGCUUCUUUGUUUAACAUAGAACCUAGAUAGUACGUAUUGAAAUCCGACACUUACGACUCCGAGCCCCGUCACGCGAUCUCCCGCAAUCAGCAUCAGCGCACGCGAACAAGGUGUACCCGUAGAAGACGCGCACGCGGAUUUGAUAGACUAUUUGACUAUCAAAACGAAACGUCAAACCCUAAGUGGCGUACAAAAAUUACAUUUAACGUCCCAGAAAUCAACAUAGAGAUCUUACAAUAUUAGAUUAACUUUAUUGAUUCCAAUAGGAAUUCUUGUGCAGAUAGUAAUAGCAAACAUAUAAUUAAUAUUAUAUACAUACAGUACAUGGGCAGUGGUGGCCUAAUGGUCACGAUGUCCCAUAUGGGUUAAAUGCAGAGGACACAUUUCUUUGUUGUGCACUGUGUGUCAUCACUGAUCACCUUAUUCUAAAUUCCACAUAUAAGGUAUUGUACCUCUGUGCAGAAUCUACGCACCUCCCCAAAUGUCAGGCUGUGUAUGCUGUAUGAAACAAGGUUACACUUCAAACACAGCAGAAAAGAGUGUUCUACAAAUUAUGCUGUAUUUUUAUACAUAUAUUACAGGUUCAACAGAAGUCUUACGUAAAGCAAAAAAGUUGUUGCGGCGUUAUGUACAAUAUGAAUGAAGUUAAGUUAUUUGUUUAUAUAGCACAUUUAAAAACAAUGUGUGGAGGAUAUUCUUGUUCACACAGGACACCGAAUCUGUUUUCCAGUUGAAUUUCUGAUGGUGGUGCAGCGUUAUCACAUUUACAGUACCAGCACCGUCCAUGGCGUGGAGCUAGCCGAUGCCUUGGACUUAACUUCUAGUUUGGACCAGGGCUCAGAUGAUCUGACCGUGACUGCAGAGCAUGGGACGGCCUCAGGGUGGAGUGCCAUGUGUCAGGAUGAUGACUUCCUACUCCAGAAGAAGCACAGGGAGAUGGGAGACACGUCCACUGCAGUCAUCGUGAUGCAGAAGCCCAGACCUUAAGGAUUCAACCUGGUCAGUCACAGCAGGACCAGAACACCACCUGGACCAUAAACACAUCGAGCCGCCCAAACCCCAGCCGCCUCCCUCACCUCCACCUCCUUCAUCUUCUCCAUGGUGAUGAGGCGCCGGGACGUGUGACUGGACAGGGUCUGCUCACAGUUGCUGACUAGCCUGAGGCAGGGGUGCAGGGGGACAAUCUC
Paramormyrops kingsleyae is the source of this 1306-nucleotide non-coding RNA. The record is from RefSeq and is a predicted model, not a curated record. NCBI's taxonomy places the organism in Eukaryota, Metazoa, Chordata, Actinopteri, Osteoglossiformes, Mormyridae.